GUUGUAUGGUUAAGUGACUAAGCGUACACGGUGGAUGCCUGGGCAGUCAGAGGCGAUGAAGGACGUACUAACUUGCGAUAAGCGUAGAUGAGGCAGUAAGAGCCACUUGAGUCUACGAUUUCCGAAUGGGGAAACCCAGCUGCAUAAGCAGUUAUCUCAAUGUGAAUUCAUAGCAUUGUGAGGCGAACCGGGGGAACUGAAACAUCUAAGUACCCCGAGGAAGAGAAAUCAACCGAGAUUCCGGCAGUAGCGGCGAGCGAAACCGGAUUAGCCCUUAAGCUAAUCUUGCGUUAGGUGAACAUGCUGGAAAGCAUGGCAAUAAAGGGUGAUAGCCCCGUAACCAACAGCGCUUUAUCAGUGAAAUCGAGUAGGACGGGACACGUGUUAUCCUGUCUGAAUAUGGGGGGACCAUCCUCCAAGGCUAAAUACUCCUGACUGACCGAUAGUGAACCAGUACCGUGAGGGAAAGGCGAAAAGUACCCCUGUGAGGGGAGUGAAAUAGAACCUGAAACCGUGUACGUACAAGCAGUAGGAGCAGGCUUUGUCCUGUGACUGCGUACCUUUUGUAUAAUGGGUCAGCGACUUAAUUUUAGUAGCAAGGUUAACCAUCUAGGGGAGCCGUAGGGAAACCG
This 632-nucleotide ribosomal RNA is filed under the name Photobacterium damselae. RNAcentral describes it as "partial 23S ribosomal RNA". It matches the Rfam family "Bacterial large subunit ribosomal RNA", at positions 1 to 679 of the family's 2925-position model. The record is from RNAcentral. Lineage: Bacteria; Pseudomonadati; Pseudomonadota; Gammaproteobacteria; Vibrionales; Vibrionaceae.